AUGCAGAGCUCGAUGGCCCCGUCCCGUAUCAUGGCGCUGCUAGCAAUGCUCUUGGUCUCUCGCUUGUUCUUCUGCUCCCAAGCUUCCUCCGAUGGCUUCCUCGCGUGCCUCACGGCGUCCGUGCCCGAGCAGCUCCUCUUCACCCGGAGCUCGCCGUCGUUCGCGUCGGUCCUGGCGUCCUCCGUUCGGAACCGCAGGUUCCUCACGCAGGCGACGGUGCGGCCGAUCUGCAUUGUUACGGCGAUGAACGCCUCGCACGUCCAGGCCGCCGUCGUGUGCGGCCGCCGGCACGGCGUCCGCCUCCGUGUGCGCAGCGGCGGGCACGACUACGAGGGCCUCUCGUUCAGGUCUACGCGCCUCGAGACAUUCGCCGUGAUUGACCUCGCCGGCCUCCGCUCCGUGCGCGUCAGCCUUGGCAGCCCGCGGGAGGAAGCGCCAUCCACCGCGUGGGUGGACUCCGGCGCGACGCUCGGGGAGCUGUAUCAUGCUAUCGGGAAGGCGAGUGACCGGCUGGCGUUCCCAGCGGGCCUGUGCCCGACGGUGGGCGUCGGCGGACAUCUCAGCGGCGGCGGCUUCGGCAUGCUGCUGCGCAAGCAUGGCCUGGCCGCCGACCACGUCGUGGACGCCACGCUUGUUGACGCCGAGGGGAGGGUCCUGGACAGGGACGCCAUGGGCCAGGACGUCUUUUGGGCCAUCCGCGGCGGCGGCGGCGGCGGGAGCUUCGGGAUCGUGCUGUCGUGGCAGGUGAAGCUCGUGGCCGUGCCGCCGGCGGUCACCGCGUUCACGAUCCCCAAGUCCGUCGAGCAGGGCGCCGUGGACAUCCUCACCAAGUGGCAGGAGGUCGCGCCGGCUCUCCCUGACGACUUGUUCGUGAGGGUGCUCGUCCAACGACAGGUGGCCAAAUUCCAGGCCCUAUACCUAGGCACCUGCGACGCGCUCCUGCCGGUGAUGCGCCACCGCUUCCCAGAGCUCGGCGUGAAUCAUAAGCACUGCAAGGAAAUGACCUGGCUCCAGUCCGUGCCCUACGUCUACCUGGGCGGCGACGCCACCGUGGAGGACAUCUUGAACCGGACCGACCCCGUGGACACCACCUCCAGCAAGGCCACGUCCGACUACGUCCGACAUGCGAUCGCCAGCGACGUGUGGGAGGAAAUCUUCGCGACCUGGCUCGCGAGGCCGGACGCGGGGCUGAUGAUCCUGGACCCCUACGGCGGGAGCAUCGCCGGCGUGCCGGAGUCCGCGACACCAUUCUCACACCGCGCCGGCGUGCUGUAUAACGUGCAGUACAUGAACUUCUGGGGCGGCGGCGGCGGCGACGGCGCGGCGCAGAAGAGGUGGAUCAGGGACAUGUACGCGUUCAUGGAGCCGCACGUGAGCAAGAACCCGAGGGAGGCGUACGUGAACUACAGGGACCUUGACCUCGGGACGAACGUGGUCGUCGGCAACGUCACCAGCUACGAGGCCGGCAAGGUCUGGGGCGAGAAGUACUACAAGGAUAACUUCAGGAGGCUCGCCAUGGCCAAGCGUCAGAUAGACCCCGACGACUACUUCAGGAAUGAGCAGAGCAUCCCGCCGCUUGAUGCUGACGAGCAACCACUGAUCAUGAGGGACGUGGCGCCUAAGGGUUACGCUAAUCCUAUUUCGUCGAAUCGUUUUGACAUAUUUGGUUGUGUGGGUAUCUGUCUUGUGUAUGUUCGGCGAAAAUACCGUUUAAAAUCAUGA
This 1722-nucleotide ribosomal RNA is filed under the name Triticum aestivum (bread wheat). RNAcentral describes it as "partial small subunit ribosomal RNA". The record is from RNAcentral. Lineage: Eukaryota; Viridiplantae; Streptophyta; Magnoliopsida; Poales; Poaceae.